RNAcentral lists this small RNA (1395 nucleotides) under Pongo abelii (Sumatran orangutan). RNAcentral describes it as "retained intron". The record is from RNAcentral. Lineage: Eukaryota; Metazoa; Chordata; Mammalia; Primates; Hominidae.
UUAGGACCUCAUGGAUCCCAGGGGGACCAAGAGAGAAGCUGAGAAGACAGAGGUAGCUGAGCCUCGGAACAAACUACCUCGUCCAGCACCUUCUCUGCCCACAGACCCUGCCCUCUACUCUGGGCCCUUUCCUUUCUACCGGCGCCCUUCGGAACUGGGCUGCUUCUCCCUGGAUGCUCAACGCCAGUACCAUGGAGAUGCCCGAGCCCUGCGCUACUAUAGCCCACCCCCCACUAACGGUCCAGGCCCCAACUUUGACCUCAGAGACGGAUACCCGGAUCGAUACCAGCCCCGGGACGAGGAGGUCCAAGAAAGGCUGGACCACCUGCUGUGCUGGCUUCUGGAACACCGAGGCCGGUUGGAGGGGGGUCCAGGCUGGCUGGCAGAGGCCAUAGUGACGUGGCGGGGGCACCUCACAAAACUGCUGACGACACCGUAUGAGCGGCAGGAGGGCUGGCAGCUGGCAGCCUCCCGGUUCCAGGGAACACUAUACCUAAGUGAAGUGGAGACGCCAAACGCUCGGGCCCAGAGGCUUGCUCGGCCACCGCUCCUCCGGGAGCUUAUGUACAUGGGAUACAAAUUUGAGCAGUACAUGUGUGCAGACAAACCUGGAAGCUCCCCAGACCCCUCUGGGGAGGUUAACACCAACGUGGCCUUCUGCUCUGUGCUACGCAGCCGCCUGGGAAGCCACCCUCUGCUCUUCUCAGGGGAGGUAGACUGCACAGACCCCCAGGCCCCAUCCACACAGCCCCCAACCUGCUAUGUGGAGCUCAAGACCUCCAAGGAGAUGCACAGCCCUGGCCAAUGGAGGAGUUUCUACAGGUUCAGGAUCAGGGUGGGCAGGGCGAGAGCUUAGACUUGAAGGCUGGGAAAGGGACUUGGGGAGGAGGGUGAAGGCAGAAUGGAGGGUGGACGAGGGGUCCCACUGAUCCCUUGCUUUUCCUGACAGACACAAGCUCCUGAAAUGGUGGGCUCAGUCAUUCCUCCCAGGGGUCCCGAAUGUUGUUGCUGGCUUCCGUAACCCAGAGGGUUUUGUCUCUUCCCUCGAGACCUUUCCUACCAUGAAGAUGUUUGAAUAUGUCAGGAAUGACCGUGACGGCUGGAAUCCCUCUGUGUGCAUGAACUUCUGUGCCGCCUUCCUUAGCUUUGCCCAGAGCACGGUUGUCCAGGAUGACCCCAGGCUCGUUCACCUCUUCUCUUGGGAGCCUGGUGGCCCAGUCACCGUGUCUGUACACCGAGAUGCACCUUAUGCCUUCCUGCCCAUAUGGUAUGUGGAAGCUAUGACUCAGGACCUCCCAUCACCCCCCAAGACUCCCUCCCCUAAAUAGUAAUGCUUUAGAGGGAGGCAGUCAUAUCUCUAUGUGCAGAUAAUAAAAGCUUAUUUUUAAGAGGUUC